RNAcentral lists this transfer RNA (63 nucleotides) under Etisus dentatus. RNAcentral's name for it is "tRNA-Asp". Lineage: Eukaryota; Metazoa; Arthropoda; Malacostraca; Decapoda; Xanthidae. The record is from RNAcentral.
AAGAAAUUAGUUAAUUUAUAAUCCUAGCUUGUCAUGCUAGAGUAAUCUUUAAGAUAUUUCUUA